UACAGAGGUCCCAAGCGUUGUUCGGAUUUACUGGGCGUAAAGGGUGCGUAGGUGGUUGGGUAAGUCUGAUGUGAAAUCUCCGGGCUCAACCCGGAAAUGGCAUUGGAAACUACCUGACUAGAGGGUUGGAGGGGGGACUGGAAUACUUGGUGUAGCAGUGAAAUGCGUAGAUAUCAAGUGGAACACCAGUGGCGAAGGCGAGUCCCUGGACAACUCCUGACACUGAGGCACGAAAGCUAGGGGAGCAAACAGG
Molecule: ribosomal RNA, 253 nt
Filed under: uncultured bacterium
Lineage: Bacteria
Description: partial 16S ribosomal RNA
Rfam family: Bacterial small subunit ribosomal RNA
Source: RNAcentral